Macrobrachium nipponense is the source of this 903-nucleotide long non-coding RNA. RefSeq lists it as uncharacterized. The transcript has 5 exons. The record is from RefSeq and is a predicted model, not a curated record. NCBI's taxonomy places the organism in Eukaryota, Metazoa, Arthropoda, Malacostraca, Decapoda, Palaemonidae.
AGUCCCUCGUGAUCGGUAAUUAGAUAUACACGUUACUUUUAAUAGUGUAUAAAAUCUAUUGUGUUCAAGGAAUAGGCAGAUGCAUUUUGAGGUUUACACAGAUGAAGAUCUUUAUUAAAUAAUUCCUGUGGAGUAUGCCCAGUUGUUACGAGAACGGCGUCCUUGUGAAAGGUCAGGCGAUCGAGAUAGGAAAAGAUGGAUAAGUGAAGGAGCUGGCUGUGAAGGUGUUACCCAUCUAAAUCUCAUUAAGUAUUUUUGGAUGGGUUGCUUGUCUUAUACCAUUCUUCAACAGGGAUGCGACACACCCAACUAACUCUCAGGGAGUACCACCAGUAGGACAGAGCCUUCUAUUCAUCAACAACUCUAUACGGACAGGGUUCCAACCCAUACCCAUUUCCCGACACCAGCUGAAGAGGGUACCAAUCCGAGGGUCGACCGUUGUGCAGGUAUGCCUGCGCCGUCUGUCCGCACAGUCGACUUGUGUAGAGAAAACUGAAGGUGUUGACAACCUGCCUGCGCAGGCGCGCCUCGAUGUAGGUGUCGGGAGGCCACCUUCUUUGCCCAGGUCUCUUUCCGUCCUCGGAUGAAGUGUGUUCCAGUCUGAACCAGAAAGUGCUGAACUUUAUUGAAUCUAAAAGUGUUUACACAGAUUAAUGAUAUAUCAUUUAUUUUCUAAAUAAUCGAUGGCGAUGUUAGAUUAAUAUAUAUUUAUAAUUUUGCGAUUUUUCUAAUGGAAUAAUAAUUGAGUAUAUUGAAGGUUACAAGUGGCAGCGCCAUUCCUGAAUGUCUUGAAUAUUUCAUUGAAACAUAUAAUAAGAAUGAGCCUUUUCUUGGGCAGUUAGUAUCCAGAGAUGAUAAUAAUAGGUUUUAAAAAAAUGGGGGGGCCGGGUUGGGGGUGUGGAU